RNAcentral lists this long non-coding RNA (1600 nucleotides) under Numida meleagris (helmeted guineafowl). Its description in RNAcentral is "lncRNA (ENSNMEG00000005512.1)". Lineage: Eukaryota; Metazoa; Chordata; Aves; Galliformes; Numididae. The record is from RNAcentral.
CAUGUAAUUGCAAGCAUUCAAAAUCAAAUCGAGGAGAAUUAUGAAAUUCAGAAAAAUAUUAUCUUUACCUGAGUGUUAGCCUAAAAAUAUGGUAAAAUAGUGUCUUAGCUCCAGGACUGAAUAUUCCUGCCCCCAGCUAGUAGUUUGCUACUGGAAGAAUUAAGAAGGAUUCAGUGAUUUCUCUUACAACAAUUGAGCAGGAGUGCAGCUUCAGUAAUCCCUGCUGUCUCACCAAGAAGGGGUGGAAUAAGACAGGAGUACAGUCUUGCUGAAAGUCCAUGGUCAAAAAAAGCUCAAAAAAGGUGCAUAUGCUGUAACAAAAUAAUUAUAUUGGUGCUUUCUCAGCUAACUCAGGGAAGAAACUAAUAAAAUCAUAAUUCUGUAUUAAAAGCCAAACCAAACAAAACAGCAAUGCAACUACCACCUCUGAAAACAAUAGCAAUAGUAAUGGAUUUAUCUGGUCUGAUUUGUAGUACCAGAAUUGUGCUGUGUUCCCAGAUGAAACAGAAGAAUAUCUGCGUUAACAACCACACACACAAGACAGAAGAAAUGAAUGGAGGCUCCAGCCAAGCAAACAGCUCCACUCAGGAACAAGUCUGAGCAAGACCGAGGCCUAAGUGCUGAAGCUCUUUUGAUUCAUUUUUCUGCAACAGAAGUUAUAUUAUUGCAGGAUUCACCCAGGUAAUUAAAUGUGCUAUUUUGCAUUAAGUGCCCAGCAAUGUAGCAUUAGAUUCCAUGAAGGUUUACGUAUUAAAUUUGGUUAUAGUCUUUAAUGAGAAAAUCAUAUUGAGAAAGACUUGUAGGUUGUAUUUUCACAUGCUUGUGCAGAAAUGCCUUAGAUAUAGCACUUAAUCCCUCUCGUGCUACACUAGUUAUAUUUAACAAAAAUAAGAGGACAGGCAAGGCUGUUAAAUGGGUUUCUGCAGCCCAUCUGAGCAGAAUGUGGUUUCACACUUGUUUCCUGGUCGGAGCAAGGUCUCAAAGUUUGCACUCCAGUGUGAUUGGGGGAAGUAGUGCACAGUCCCUGGUGUGAUGAUGGAGCGGUUGGUCCUGUGGGCUUUGGGCAGAGGUGGCAGCAGAAAACCAGAACCAUUGGAACAAAAACAUCUGCGAUGCAUUAUGGCACUGGCUGUCUUUCAUACAUAUAUUGGGAAAAACAGAACCACUGCUUUGCUAAAACAGAACAUCUGCCUUUCAGCUUUACAUACAUAGAAAGCUUCACUGCUCUGCCCCCGUGGUGCAACACACAAAUAAUGGGAUCUACACAGAACACUGGGAGGGGAUUUGACCACUAAGAUCAUCCAGUGCAGCUGUCCACCUACCCCUAAUGUUGCCCAGUAAACCAUCUCCUUCUGUGCAGCAUCUCCACGUUUCUUGAACACCUCCAGGGACAGUGACACCACCACCUCCCUGGGCAGCCUGUGCCAGUGCCCAACCACUCUAUCUUGAGAAGAAGUUUUUCCUAAUACCCAAUUGAGAGGUGAGCUUUAACUGCAGAACCAUCUAGUUCCAAGAAGAGGAUUACAAGUGAUUAGGGCAGCAUAUGGGGAAAGAGGAGCCAGAAAUAUAAAUAUGGGAGGAGAUUUAGGGCUUCCCUAAG